AUGUACAUUCCUACAACAUAGUGUUAAUGCAUCAGAUCCCAUUAGAACUCUAUAGUUAAGCACUCUCGUGAUAGAGUAGUAUUGGGAUCGGUGACUUGUCGGGAAGUCCUAGUAUUUUACAUG
Non-coding RNA from Picea glauca (white spruce), 123 nucleotides. The record is from Rfam. Lineage: Eukaryota; Viridiplantae; Streptophyta; Pinopsida; Pinales; Pinaceae.